ACGGAAGGAGCAGUAAGGGAUAUUGCACAAUGGGGGAAACCCUGAUGCAGCAACGCCGCGUGAGGGAAGAAGGUUUUCGGAUUGUAAACCUCUGUUUUUAGUGAAGAAACAAAUGACGGUAGCUAAAGAGGAAGCCACGGCUAACUACGUGCCAGCAGCCGCGGUAAUACGUAGGUGGCAAGCGUUGUCCGGAUUUACUGGGUGUAAAGGGUGCGCAGGCGGGACUGCAAGUUGGAUGUGAAAUACCGAAGCUUAACUUCGGAGCUGCAUCCAAAACUGUGGUUCUUGAGUGAAGUAGAGGUAGGCGGAAUUCCGAGUGUAGCGGUAAAAUGCGUAGAUAUUCGGAGGAACACCAGUGGCGAAGGCGGCCUACUGGGCUUUAACUGACGCUGAGGCACGAAAGCAUGGGGAGCAAACAGGAUUAGAUACCCUGGUA
This 436-nucleotide ribosomal RNA is filed under the name uncultured Clostridium sp. RNAcentral describes it as "partial 16S ribosomal RNA". It matches the Rfam family "Bacterial small subunit ribosomal RNA", at positions 341 to 792 of the family's 1533-position model. Lineage: Bacteria; Bacillati; Bacillota; Clostridia; Eubacteriales; Clostridiaceae. The record is from RNAcentral.